GUUCUAUAUAUGUUGGUCCAAAUUUAAAUUUAUUGAAGAUAUAAUUAUUAAUUUGAAUGAUGGCAUAUUGGUUUUUUUUUUUUUUUUUUAGAGAUAGGUAGCACGCUACCCGCUUCAUUUAUUUUAUUUAGAAAUAAACUUAGCUGAAAAUGUGAAUCAACUAUGAUUCGAACUUGGGUUUCGAAUACCAACUAUCAAGCUUUUUUGCCACUUACGCUAGGAACGGUCGGUGCAUAUUGGUUAAUUAAGGCCAAAAAU
This 258-nucleotide long non-coding RNA is filed under the name Ananas comosus (pineapple). Its description in RNAcentral is "long non-coding RNA (ACOM_LNC020390)". Lineage: Eukaryota; Viridiplantae; Streptophyta; Magnoliopsida; Poales; Bromeliaceae. The record is from RNAcentral.